This 2936-nucleotide long non-coding RNA is filed under the name Calidris pugnax (ruff). Its description in RNAcentral is "lncRNA (ENSCPUG00000012894.1)". Lineage: Eukaryota; Metazoa; Chordata; Aves; Charadriiformes; Scolopacidae. The record is from RNAcentral.
AAGGGAUGGAUGCAAUGUUUCCAGGCUGUCACUGGGAUGCCGGAGCUGGUGUCCUGCAGACUUCGCUGGGGUCCUUGCAUGGCAGAUGCUGCCCAAAAGUGACACAAGAUGACUCCUGGUUCUCAAAUGGAAGGAGUGUAGCCCUUCUGUGGGAUGGGUCAGGACCAGACUUGCACCUUUUAGGGAGGCUGGGUGUGAUGUGCCUACACCCAGGCCGGUCACAGGGUAUCCUGGUGGCAGGUCCCUUCCCUGGAGAGCUCACACAGGCUGCGCAGCGGAACGCGCCCCUGGGAUCCGCUCCAGGAGACGCAGUGGCAGGGCCAUGAAACAGUUAAAGCUGUAUCGUGUGCUCCCUCCCAAUUGUUCUGCAAGGUGUGCUGUGACAUUUGUACUUCCUCCUGGCAGGCAGGGAGCAGAGGCAGCCAGGGAGAGGCUGCAGGAUGCUGCUGGCCACUCUGCCCCCACCUUGAGGGUCUCUGCUGGGGGGCUCCACCAUGGCCUUCCUCAAGCUCAAGAGCCACUGUGCUUACAUACUCCUCCUGGCUGUGGUGUGCGAUGUGGUCGGGCUGAUCAUCCUCCUCCUGGGAAUUUUUGCUCCACUAAGCUCCUGGGACUUCUUCGUUUACUUGGGAGCUCUGAUACUCGCCUUCAGCCUCCUCUUCUGGGUCUUGUGGUACACAUUCAACAUUGAGAUCCCAUUCAGGGAGCUAGGUUUUAACUAACCCGCAGCUCCAGCAAAGCCGAAAUGGAAACUUGCACUUGGAGGAGCAACGUCACACGUUGGGAAGCUCCAAAGCAUUAUCCAGUUGGUGAAGAGCAUCCAAAAAGACCAAAGGGAUGGGCCUGCUCGUCUCCACAGCAUCUACCAGCCAGAUGGACCUUCAGGGGAAAGCGACCGCGGGAGGCAGACGGGAGGUUUUCUCAGCUCUCCUGGGAGCGUGGAGGCUGUGCUGUGAGUCACAGCGUUUUACAGCCCUACGCUUACCAGGACGCCCAGACCAGGAGUUCAUCUUUACCCUCCACCACCAGGGAAACAGAAAAGGACCAGAGUGUGAAUCUAAGGAGCAAGGAGGUGAAGAGAAGCAGCACCAAGAAAGGAUGCUGUUGUGCUGCUCUUUCAAACUCAUCACUGAAAAUACAAAGAGCUGUGCUCUACUGAUCUGCUGGGCGUGUUGUCACCUCUCUGGGCACAAGCACUUGAAUGGUGGACAACCUUUUUGCAUCCUCUCUAAGCACAUCACACUCCUACCCACUGCCUUUGUCUCAGCGGGUCCAACACAAGCGGCAGGGCCACUGCAAGCUCUCCUGGCUGUGGCCAGGCAGGAUCCAGCUGACAGGCUGGACCAGUUCUGCAGACUUCACCGCAUGGAUGGGAAGGACUGGUUCAACAGGGCUCACAGCUGGAGAGACUGCCUGAGGUGUCGCUGACUCCCUGGCCUGGGGACCUUCUCUGUGUAUUGAGGCACCCAACAGGAGAGGGAGACAACAUCAUCAGACAGGACAGAGGAUUUCCUAAGCAAAACCCAGCUGCUGGCUAGAUAGAGAGGUCUUAGGUACAUUUUACCUAAUCUCACCAAGGUCCCAGGCACUUUCUACAUGGUACUUAAUGAAAAACUCAGAAGAUCUUGGUUCAAAGAACUACUGGGGCCCUGGACAGUUGCGAAGCCCAGGAACAGAUUUCCUGCUUCAGCUGUCAAACUGAUGGAGGCUCCACAUGGAAACAAACUUCCUGGCUGACUCAAAAUGUAAAUCCCAGGUGACAGGAGACCAAGAGACCCACAUCUCCAUCCUCCUGUGUCCCUGCUGCAGUGUUCAGCUGACCAUAAAGCCACUUGUGUAGGAUGGAAGCACAUAUAACACCUAUCAAAUAGGUUAUUCAGCACUUUCCAUUACAGAUGCCUCUUUUCAGUUGUUUAAAUCUGAAAUUUUAAAGUUUAUUUCUUUGUCAUUUCCCAUCUGAGAGGGUUUGGUGCUUCCCUCAGUCCCUCUCUCUGCAGACCAGCUGAGAGGACAGUGUCAGUACUCAGGGACUUCUGUGACAGUCAAGACACGCUCUGCUAAAUAGGCUCAACAAGGAGAUACCUUGACCUGAUGUAGGAGAGAUCUCUCCCACCAUUUCAGAAAUACCCCCACAGACUUUCCUGGGGUGAUGGAGAUGUGAUUUGGGCCCGAUGUGCACAUUCUGCUUGCAGUCCCUUCAGCUCCAUCAGCUGCUUCAAGCAGAGUUCAAGAGGUCCCCAGGAGAGCACAUGGAGAACAAAACACUUGGGUCUCCAAAGAGAGGGCUGUGCUGAGGAUGCCAGCCUUCACCACUGCCAGACAACAGCACGGACCAAGUAACACUUUAUGGGUGAUAUCAGGCCUUGGCUGGCCUUGCUGGACUUAAUUUUAGCACUUUGGGUGAUAGCAACAGCAGUGUGGUCUGUGGGCAAGUUGUUCAUUGUGGGAACUACUAACUCAGGGGGGAAUCUGGCAGCUCUUCUCUGUAUCUAGUUCCCAGGGCAUGAGAUGGUGGCAGAGCUGACAUCUCAGCCUCUGCCAUGAGCAGGCAACUGGUGCCCCCAGUAGCCAUCUAACCAUCCUGUCUUCCCACCCUGGGAAAGAAGGCUCCCUGCUCAACCCCAUGGAUGGUGGAGGUCCCUCAUCCUCAAAGCAUUGAAAUAACUUAUAUUUGAAGCUUAGGCCUAUUUGGGGCUAAAUCCUGUCCCAGGUAGAAGAGGGACCACCUCCCAGUUCCCCAGAAUAUCAGUCAGGGAAUCACUAAGCAAGGGAUGCAGUCAGGCACCUUGAGCAGGGUACAAGGCUGUCUUCUGGGGAGGUGAAGUGCAACAGAGCCUGUGCCGGGGUGUUUUGCAGCUUUCGGGUUUGUUCUGGAGGAACUGUUUUGGUAUCACCUUUCCAGGACUUUUUGAAUAAAGUUGCCACCCUCCUUUUCA